This 425-nucleotide ribosomal RNA is filed under the name uncultured bacterium. Its description in RNAcentral is "partial 16S ribosomal RNA". It matches the Rfam family "Bacterial small subunit ribosomal RNA", at positions 354 to 796 of the family's 1533-position model. The record is from RNAcentral.
GUGGGGAAUCUUGCGCAAUGGGCGAAAGCCUGACGCAGCCAUGCCGCGUGAAUGAUGAAGGUCUUAGGAUUGUAAAAUUCUUUCACCGGGGACGAUAAUGACGGUACCCGGAGAAGAAGCCCCGGCUAACUUCGUGCCAGCAGCCGCGGUAAUACGAAGGGGGCUAGCGUUGCUCGGAAUUACUGGGCGGAAAGGGCGCGUAGGCGGACAGUUUAGUCAGAGGUGAAAGCCCAGGGCUCAACCUUGGAAUUGCCUUUGAUACUGGCUGUCUUGAGUACGGGAGAGGUGAGUGGAACUCCGAGUGUAGAGGUGAAAUUCGUAGAUAUUCGGAAGAACACCAGUGGCGAAGGCGACUCACUGGCCCGUUACUGACGCUGAGGCGCGAAAGCGUGGGGAGCAAACAGGAUUAGAUACCCCUGUAGUCC